CUACGGGUCGCUCCAGUGAGGAAUAUUGCACAAUGAGGGGAACCCUGAUGCAGCAACGCCGCGUGGAGGAUGACGCAUUUCGGUGUGUAAACUCCUUUUAUAUGUCAAGAAAAUGACGGUAGCAUAUGAAUAAGCACCGGCUAACUCCGUGCCAGCAGCCGCGGUAAUACGGAGGGUGCAAGCGUUACUCGGAAUCACUGGGCGUAAAGGACGCGUAGGCGGGUUGGAAAGUCAGGUGUGAAAUACUACAGCUUAACUGUAGAACUGCACUUGAAACUUCUAAUCUAGAGUAUGGGAGGGGGAGAUGGAAUUAGUGGUGUAGGGGUAAAAUCCGUAGAUAUCACUAGGAAUACCUAAAGCGAAGGCGAUCUCCUGGAACAUUACUGACGCUAAGGCGUGAAAGCGUGGGGAGCAAACAGGAUUAGAUACCCCCGUAGUC
Molecule: ribosomal RNA, 439 nt
Filed under: uncultured bacterium
Lineage: Bacteria
Description: partial 16S ribosomal RNA
Rfam family: Bacterial small subunit ribosomal RNA
Source: RNAcentral